This 803-nucleotide ribosomal RNA is filed under the name uncultured Pelagibacteraceae bacterium. RNAcentral's name for it is "bacterial SSU rRNA". It matches the Rfam family "Bacterial small subunit ribosomal RNA", at positions 33 to 884 of the family's 1533-position model. Lineage: Bacteria; Pseudomonadati; Pseudomonadota; Alphaproteobacteria; Candidatus Pelagibacterales; Candidatus Pelagibacteraceae. The record is from RNAcentral.
ACGCUGGCGGCACGCCUAACACAUGCAAGUCGAACGAAGUAGCAAUACUUAGUGGCAGACGGGUGAGUAACAUGUAGGUAUCUGCCCUUUGGCCUGGAAUAACACGAGGAAACUUGUGCUAAUACCGGAUAAGUCUUUACGGAGAAAGCUUUAUGCACCAUUGGAUGAGCCUGCACUUGAUUAGUUUGUUGGUGGGGUAAUGGCCUACCAAGACUUUGAUCAAUAGCUGAUUUGAGAGGAUGAUCAGCCACAUUGGGACUGAGACACGGCCCAAACUCCUACGGGAGGCAGCAGUGGGGAAUCUUGCACAAUGGAGGAAACUCUGAUGCAGCGAUGCCGCGUGAGUGAAGAAGGCCCUUGGGUUGUAAAGCUCUUUCGUCGGGGAAGAAAAUGACUGUACCCGAAUAAGAAGGUCCGGCUAACUUCGUGCCAGCAGCCGCGGUAAUACGAAGGGACCUAGCGUAGUUCGGAAUUACUGGGCUUAAAGAGUUCGUAGGUGGUUGAAAAAGUUGGUGGUGAAAUCCCAGAGCUUAACUCUGGAACUGCCAUCAAAACUUUUCAGCUAGAGUAUGAUAGAGGAAAGCAGAAUUUCUAGUGUAGAGGUGAAAUUCGUAGAUAUUAGAAAGAAUACCAAUUGCGAAGGCAGCUUUCUGGAUCAUUACUGACACUGAGGAACGAAAGCAUGGGUAGCGAAGAGGAUUAGAUACCCUCGUAGUCCAUGCCGUAAACGAUGUGUGUUAGACGUUGGAAAUUUAUUUUCAGUGUCGCAGCGAAAGCGAUAAACACACCGCCUGGGGAGUACG